GCACUGGCACUUUCUCCUGUAUGCCAUGACAUCAGAGUGCAUUGUUAGCACAUAUUAGGAGCUGGAUACACUGAAGUGAUAUUUAAAAGUCCUCUCCAGACUUCAGAAAGAAGGGACACCGUCUGCAACACAGCAUGAGUUUCAUGUACCAGCACCAACACAAUUGGGGAUUGCGGUAAACCUGCAUUACAGUUCCUUGAAAUGGGUUCUAUAUACUUUGAACUAUGAACUCCUGAUAUGCUCUUGCAGAGCUCCUAGCAGCUAAACUACUAUGAAAAAGAAUGAUAAAAAGCUGGAGUUCAGCUACUAAUUAACAGAAGCUGGAAGAAAAGACAAGAGGGGUUAAAUGGAUCACUAGUUGCUUGGCUGCCUCUUCUGAAACUUUGGGUUUUUUUCCACCAGCAAAGAACAGACCUUUAACCCAAAUAUUACUGUUUGCAAUGCAUCACCAUCUAACAAGAUAAGCAGUGAUGUUGUGAAUAGGUAAACACCAUGAGCCAGUUACAAUUGCUUGGACUAUGUUUGUGGAAGAAUAUCAGCAAUUCAAUGAGAGGGCAGCUCAGAAGGGCCAACCCUGUGUUGCACUUUGUUAUGCAUCCAUCAUGUGUUCAGAUUCUUAGUAACAUCUGAAUAGUCAACGAUGUGUCAAAGAGAAAGGAUUGAGUAAUGAAUCAUGCAACACUUUCCAAGUGCCAUGGUGACUAAGAUUACAAGCCUUCCACAGUGAAGAACCCAAACUCUUCAACUAUGAAACGAAAAGAAAAAGAAAAA
Long non-coding RNA from Podarcis raffonei (Aeolian wall lizard), 771 nucleotides. RefSeq lists it as uncharacterized. The transcript is spliced from 3 exons. NCBI's taxonomy places the organism in Eukaryota, Metazoa, Chordata, Lepidosauria, Squamata, Lacertidae. The record is from RefSeq and is a predicted model, not a curated record.